GUCCAGUGCCAGACAGCUUCCCAUACAGCAAAUUUCCCAUCAAGCACUGAAAGCAUGUUUUUUCUACAUCUGGAAACUGUCCUGCUCCUCACUGGUGUUUGAGUGUUGUUCUGAUAUCCUGCUGAAAAGCCUCCAACCAAAAUCAGCCAACACAAAUUAAUAAAUUACCACCAGUCAGCAGGGGCAGAGUAACUGGACGGUGUGUGUUCUUGUCCUGAUGCACCCUACACCUCAACUGAUUAGCUGUAACUCCAUAAUUAAUGUCGAGUGUCCACCUGUGUCUGCUCUCCUCACUGGUACUGCAUUCCCCAUCUCAGAGCCAAAGAAACUCAAGAGGUCCUCCAAUGAGCAAACACAUUACAUAAGCAUGAGGUGAGACUGGAGACUCUGAGAGGUAGGGAUGUUGAAAGAGCACUGAUUUAUGAGAACUGGAGCAAAGUGGUAACUGAAGCAAUAGCUCCUUUUCCAUGAUGCUGCCCUGUGUUUUGUAACCUACCUCAUGGCCACUGGAUGAUUAGGACCUUUCCUGAGUGCACGAUUUCCCUUACCCUCAGUGUUUAUGAUGGCUGGUUUCAAUUAUUCCUUUCCUUCACACUCUGUAUUUCAACCUGCCUCAGAUGAGCAAUUCAUCUACUCUAUCAAAUAACUUACCAAGAUAGAUUUCACAUGCAAGGCAAAUACAUUUUCCUUCCCCUCAUAAUUCCACAACACUGUUUUUUAGAAUUCUGUUUCUCUUGCCUGAUUCCCAGCAAACCCUUACCCAGAGUAGAGCUUUCUAAUGUGCAGAUUGGAUAUAAAAUGCCAUCAGAUAACAGUGACAUUUCCACCUACUCUGUCCUGACCCUUGUGCCACAACUUUUCCCCCAUGUUACCUGAGCUGAUAUAAAGAGUGAGGUCAGAAAACGUUGCACAGGGCUGAAACAAGACCCCACCAUGGAUUGUCAUGUCCAUGUACAUGACUGAAGUAACUGGUGCCUAUGCAGAUUUGUAUGUAGUGGUGUUCUACGUAUGCAUGUGCACAGCAUGCAUGGCCAUGACGAAUGGUGCCAUGAUGCAUGUGAAAAAGCCCAUUUUUUACACAUGUAUUCAUGCUUUGUGAACUUCUGAUAUCAAUUCAUUUAAGAAUGGAGAGAAAAUUAAGAGAUUUGGUGCAUGUAGUUGCUCAUUCUUAAUACUCUUCUGAUCUUAGCAUAGAUGGGACCUGCACAGAUGAGUGAUGAGCGCUUGGAGGGUGAUUCCGUGGUAGAAGCAUCGUGUGGGUCCCAAGUUGGGUAUGGACACUGCUAUGGCACCCAAGUGAACGGAGCCCUGUGUCAGCAAAAAGCGUGAUGAAUAUCCAGGUGAGCUCAACAAGCACUCAGCAGAAUUCAUCUGCAGCUCAUUGAGGCAACACAGAGAGAGUUCAUGGGGAGUUUAUCAUGGGAACUGCUGAGGGUUAAUGGCCAGCAGAACAGAUUGAGCUGUGGGAUUACUAAAUAAUGAACUUUUCUCUCCAAUAAAUUUGUCCCUGACUUAUAAAAAAUCAAUAACAUACUACAUUUCGGGCUUUUUUUUUCCUUUUCCUUUUGGUGACGGUGGGGAAUGUGGGCUCAGAGUAAUUUUUAAACUACUCUUUCAUAUAUAUGUAUAAAUAUAUUUUACUCUGAUCAUUUAUACAAAAGCUCAGAUGUGCCACAUUUACUGCAGCUUCAUCACCUAGAUAGAUUUUUAUGUGGGUGCCCGGCUAUUGCUUUGUUUAAUCAUUCUUUUCUCUUCCCUCCCCAGUCCCUUGCCUCCCCCUUCCCUUCCAUGCUUUUUAUGACACUAUCGCCAGCGCAGAUAUGCAGGAGGGUUUUCAUGUGAUAUAGGAUGUCGGAGAGGUCAGGUCAGCUGGGACAGAGCCAAAAAUAUUAGCACUUUCUAACUGCUGAGGAGAGAAAUUGAAAUAAUAGCACUUAUAAAUUGGCAGGUUUUCAACUGCAGGAGAAGAGAGGGAUUUUUUGCGUGUGUUUAUUUUGUUUCAGAAGUGGAGAGGAGGCGGAUCCGGUUCUUGGCCACAGAAGAGAUGUUCACUGUGCUUUGGGCUCGUGUUUGUGUUAAAUUUGGCCAGGAAGUGGUUGGUGGGCUGGUAUCUGUUCUCAGACACGCAUUUCCUGUUUUUAACCCAAUCUUUCUUCCCUCCAUCUCUGUAUGGAAAUAGAAUUAUAGAAUCAUUAAUGUUCGAAGAGACCAUUAGGAUCAUCAAGCCCAACCACAGGUCCCUCAGAUGACUGCAUAUAGCAAGUCUCCCCAAAAUACAGGUAAAGAAUCAGCCAAACUGAUGCUGCUCUCUGGAAGUCCAGAAGAGAGGUUACAAGGAGCACCACAAAAAGAGCAUGAAAACAGAAUCAUCACAGAAACAUUCAGAUUGGAUAAGAUCACCAAGAUCAUCAACUCCCACCAUCGAACCACCACCACCACCAUGCCCACUAACCACGUCCCAUGGGUGCCAUGUGCAUCAACAGCUCCACACAGACUCUUCCUCCCUUCGGAUGCAAAAAUGAUCUCACACCGUCACUGUUAGACAGCAUCAGCAAUGGAAAUCACCUCCUCUCACCAAAGCCCAAAGUGCUUUGCAGGAUCUGCCUUCCAAAACCUGCUCUCAUCUGGUCUCCGAUGCUUCACCUCAACCCAGGCACAGCUGUUACGUGUGCCAACCUGGGGAAAUCAGAAGCCAUGCAGCAAUAACUGUUAAUUGACCGAGAGCCACCUCUGCGAUGCCAACAGGAACAAAAGAACAAGCAUCUGGCUUUGCCAUCUGUGCCUGUUUAAAUGCAGCAAAAAGAAACCCUUCUCCAGAUCUCCCAGCUGGGUGGAGAGGUAACUGGAUUCAGCAGCAACGUGGAGUUGCAGGUUGGCUGGGUCUGUGGCUCCUAGUCACUCUGACAUGUGAAACCCUUUGCACGAGACAUGUUGACCUUCCCAGCCCUGGCUUUGUAGAUGAGAGCAAUGAUGGGCUCUGAUGGACGCAACUGAGCAGCCUGGAGUUAUUUCUAGUCAUGGUUGCAGUUCACUGUGAAUAAAAGUCCAGGUGUUCAGAAAUCACUCAGUGCUCAAAGUACUUGCAAGAGCUUUGAUGCACCCUUUACCUCUUUCCAUCUCACUAGGCAUGGCUAGGAGAGCUCUUCAAUGGAUCACAUGUCCUGGAAAAGGACACCUGUCUUGUGCCCCACACAUCCCAGAGGUCAUAAGGAAGGGAUCACUGGUGUUCAGACAACCUCCUCCACCAAAGUCUGCAAAACAAAUUAAAAGCAUAUCAAAUCUUCUGUUUUCCAAGGAGCUUCACAUGAUAAAAGCUGAGUCAGAGGUCUCUGGUGUGCUGGGAUCCUGAAACUUCUAGGAAGAGAGACCUAGACAGAGCAGUGGGUCCAUGAAAACCUCACGCAGUUCAACAAUGCAAGGUUUUCACCCCAACAUAGAGUACGAAGCAUCAGGCCUUCCACCAGGACAGACAUCCUAUUUGUAAACACUGCUUUAUUGUAUCUUACUCUCCUCCAUAAUGCUUUUCACUCCAGCAUGGAUGAACCUUCAUGGGAGUUUUUCCAGUGUCACCCUUAAUAAUGAUAUCAUUCUCUUUUUACCAAGACACUUUGCUAGACUGGAAGACAACAGUUUCGUAUCAGUCCCUCAAGACAAGCCAGUAAUCAUCCAACAGACCAUCUCAUCUUCACUGACCAUUCCUGUGAUGGGAGUUGCUCACGUCAGAGGAGCAUUAAAGGAUGGAUGAGGAGACUUCAUCCAGCAAUUUCCAGCGCACCAUGAUGAAUGGCUGGAGGGUAGCAGGUGACGUCUCAGAGAACAUCUCAAAGGAAAGGACAAAGAUUGAAGCAACUGAACUGCUGUAAGGGCAUAGCUUUUGUCUCCAACUCCACAUGAGUUGCGAGAAGCUCAUAAAUAGAUGAGCAACUCGUAUGCAUUGAGCAACUCAUGUGUAUGUCACUGAAGCUGGAAAUGUUCAAGGAACAUUUAGAUGUUGUGUUGAGGGAUGUGGUUUAGUGAGAACUCUUGGUGAUGGGUGGAUGGUUGGACUGGAUGGUCUUGUAGGUCUUUUCCCACCUUGGCAAUUCUAUGAUUCUAUGAUUGCUACAGCUCAGCGCAGUCUGGAAGUGCUGGAACUCCUUUUCAGCUGCUGGAGCUGAGAUCUCUAAAGGUGCUCAGGUGCCUAAAGAUGCUGACAUGCUUACUAGGCUUUGCAGAAGUGCUCAUUUUUUAAAGUCCUUAUAGUUAUCUCUCUUCAGACUCCAAAGUGGCUCCAGAAAGCUGCUCUGGAAAGUCUACAGAUACAUGAACAAUGUUUUAAUCCUCUGACCAGAGAAAAAUCUCUGUCCUUCCAGCCACCUGGUGCACAGCAGUUCAUAUGCACACCGCUGAGGCACACCACCCUGGAAUGAUUCCUUUCCUCUAAGCCCGUCUAGCCAGCAUGUCAUUAUUAUUUUUGAGUGAUCAUGUGUUUUGAGAUCAAAGGACUUAAAAUAAAGCAAUAGCUGUGUUGCAGCCAGCCUCACUGCGUGGUUCUGAAAGUGUAUACGUGUUGUCUGCCUUGUUGGGAAAGCACAGGAAUAAAGAGAGUUCAGAGGAUACAAAUCAGGUUGCUCAGAGAAGCUGUGGAUGCCCCAUCCCUGGAGGUGCCCAAGGCCAUGAUGAGUGUGGCCCUGGGCAACCUGAGCUGGUGGGCAGCAACCAGCCCACAGGAGGGAGGUUGAAACCCUAUGAUCUUUAAGAUCCUUUCAUGGGCUAAAACAUGCCCAGAACACUAAUCCAGAGUUUCCUCACUCCUAAAAGGAGUUGAGGAUGGACCAUAUAUUGUACGAUCAAGGGACCAAACAGCAGAGAAUUCACUCACUGGGCAGUACAGAAGUAACAUACAACUCAGAUCCACAGAAAGACCCACAGGGAGCUGAACACGUCAGAGCAGCUUCUCCCUCAGCACUGCAGGUAGGAUUUCCUGAAAGACUCACCGACUUUCUGCACCUGCUCCCCUUGGCAUCAAUAAGAGGAGGAGGGGAAAGAAGGGAACUGCUAUUGAUUGUGAAAAUGCAAUUCAGCGGAUGCUUCAAGAAAUCAGAAUCUUAGAAUCAGAGAAUAUUCUGAGUUGGAAGAGACCCACAAUGACCAUCAAGUCCAACCCCUGACUCCACACAGCAGCACCUAAACCCUAUGUCUGAGAGUGAUGUCCCUGUGCCCAUUGCCUUGGGCAGCCUGCUCCUCUGGUGGGGGCCUAUCCCUCCAAUUAAUCCUCCUUCCUCCAUUCUCUGCUUCAAGGAAGUGUCCAGCCAAACCUUCGUGAUUCACGCUAUAAAGAGAU
This is a long non-coding RNA of Gallus gallus (chicken), 5323 nucleotides long. Lineage: Eukaryota; Metazoa; Chordata; Aves; Galliformes; Phasianidae. The record is from Ensembl.